GUAGUAUAAACGGAGCUUAAUACUUUCAAUGUAAGAAGCUUUUUUGCCGAACUGAACGAAUAAGUGAAGUGUCGCCGAAUUUCAACGAGCAACAACGAAUAGAAUGCAAAUCAUUUAGCAAAAGAAGCCGAGACGAAAAAGUAGUUUAAAGUGAACAUUAAGAAAAAUGAAGUGAACAUAUUAAAAAAGUAUUUGUGCAUCAGCUAACAAUUAGAUUAGUUAAUAAGAUAUUGACUUAAAACAACUCCUAUCUUUUAAAAAAUAUUGUUGUUUAAAAUAUGAUAAUUUAGCGGGAGAAGCGUUACAUCGAUGCUGGAAAGCUUGUACAAAUCGAAUGUUAUUGGAUGUAAGAAACUCAAGCUCUACUACCGAAAUUUUUUUGAAAUGGCCGCAAUACAAAUGCCUAAUUGGCUAUCGUAUGAUUGACAUGGAUUUUUGUUUUUUGCACCAAAACGCUGGUCAAGUUCUUGAAAAUUGCGAACAAAUACAGCCCCAAAUUUUGAACUUCCUUUUAAAUGACAACAAUGUGAAGGAAAAAACCAUAUUGGAAGUGUUGGAAAAAUUGUCAAAUGAAGCAUUAAUAUGCACAAUACCUAACAAUUUUCAAGAUUGAGCUUUACUCUGGGCCCUAAAUGGGUAUUUUGUGCCUUUCCAAAAAGUUGUAAGGAAAUACAAAGAGGAGAAAAAAACGUUUACGAUUUACCAUCAAGGACUCCCAGAAUUCGUUUGUUUAGGUCGGUGCAACGAUCCAAGCAAUCGAAUAUCACAUGGAAUCAUCAAUUGAGACACAAUAUUUUAAAAAUAAAAUGAACGCAAGGACUCAUUUAUUGAUAAAUGAACUUAACUACAAAAAAUAAAAAUUGUAAAAUUAAAUUAA
This is a long non-coding RNA of Eupeodes corollae, 877 nucleotides long. RefSeq lists it as uncharacterized. The record is from RefSeq and is a predicted model, not a curated record. The transcript is spliced from 4 exons. NCBI's taxonomy places the organism in Eukaryota, Metazoa, Arthropoda, Insecta, Diptera, Syrphidae.